Molecule: long non-coding RNA, 395 nt
Filed under: Selaginella moellendorffii
Lineage: Eukaryota; Viridiplantae; Streptophyta; Lycopodiopsida; Selaginellales; Selaginellaceae
Description: long non-coding RNA (SMOE_LNC000835)
Source: RNAcentral
GUUUCUCUUCGCCCUUCUAUUUCACGUUGUAGUAAGAGUCGAUGAUCGCGUCCGCAAGGUAGUCACACUUGGCUAGAUUCAAUCCAGCCAAGGAAAUUCGUCCAUCCUUUGUCAUGUAAACGUGCCAUUUAUCAGUCAUGUUGUCACUCUGGAAAACAUCACAGCGAUCACAGUGAAGAUCCAACCAGGUUUCGAAAACUUCGAGAGCUUUUUACCUGGGACUUGGUGAGGCCUGUGAAGGAGAACAUCCCAAUUUGCUUGAGAAUGAAGGACCAAUCUUUGCCACUCUUGUCCUUUGACAGGAGUGCCUCGUAGAGCUUCUGCCUCACACCCUUGAUCCUGCCCGCCAUCAUCUGCAUCUCUGCCCUCCAUUCGUCGAACAAAACCGAGUCGCC